This 483-nucleotide ribosomal RNA is filed under the name uncultured bacterium. RNAcentral's name for it is "partial 16S ribosomal RNA". It matches the Rfam family "Bacterial small subunit ribosomal RNA", at positions 28 to 507 of the family's 1533-position model. The record is from RNAcentral.
GACGAACGCUGGCGGCGUGCUUAACACAUGCGAGUCGAACGCUGAAGCUCAGCUUUUGUUGGGUGGAUGAGUGGCGAACGGGUGAGUAACACGUGAGUAACCUGCCCCCUUCUUUGGGAUAACGCCCGGAAACGGGUGCUAAUACUGGAUAUUCACUGGUCUUCGCAUGGGGGUUGGUGGAAAGGGUUUUUCUGGUGGGGGAUGGGCUCGCGGCCUAUCAGCUUGUUGGUGGGGUGAUGGCCUACCAAGGCUUUGACGGGUAGCCGGCCGGAGAGGGUGACCGGUCACAUUGGGACUGAGAUACGGCCCAGACUCCUACGGGAGGCAGCAGUGGGGAAUAUUGCACAAUGGGCGCAAGCCUGAUGCAGCGACGCCGCGUGAGGGAUGGAGGCCUUCGGGUUGUGAACCUCUUUCGCUCAUGGUCAAGCCACAACAAUGGUUGUGGUGAGGGUAGUGGGUAAAGAAGCGCCGGCUAACUACGUG